GUUAAUAGGUUGCUUAGAAAAUGCAAGGUUUGGUGUUGUAUCAGAAUCGAAGUGCUACAAACCUGGAGUGAAACGUUUGGCCAGAGCUGACAAGCAUCUAGACCUGCUGUCCAGCACUUCACAGAAGUGUGCCUCAUCGUCCAUUUAUGGCUAUUUUAAGGGAGACUUUGCUUGCCAGACUCAUUCCCUUCUGCAGAGAGCAAUUAAAGAUUUCCUGGGGCGAGGCGCUAGCCUAAGCAGGACAAGAGAUGAAGAGGAGCUGCCGUAGCAAGAGGACUUUUGUUUAAAACUGAAGAACAAACAAACUGAAGCAAGCCUUGGAUUGUAUCCACUCAACUGCAGAAGAAAGGGCUGUGUGCAGCACACAUUUUCAUUAGCUGCAGUUCUGUCCCUAUCACCGAAGCAGAACGAGGAAAGGGCACUUUGUGAUCUGUUGGGACUAAAGGCACAAGAGAGCACAGCUUGAUGGGCUGGACUCGUUAUCUUGCCUCUGCCCCAGCAGAUCAGUUACAGCAAGGGUGAAGCUGACAAGAUAACUGGAGAGGCAAAAUUAGCGGAGUGUGGAAUUUGCUCCUAAGUGGCUGCUGGCAUGAAGCGAGUUAGUCAGAACAAGUACCUCUGGCCACAGCAGUGACAGCGAGGACCCCACAACUACCUGUGAAAACUGAGCAACGAAGGUCAUCAAGCACUGGGCGGUGGAUGAGUAGAGUCCAGCCAGAGGUGUGGUGGCUGAGGAAGAGCAUCCCAAUAGCUUUACAGCAGGAGCAAUGACCCUUACUUUGUUUCUGCAGGAAAUGAGGAUCAUUUUUGAGCUAGAGAAGACAAGCUUAUUCAGGUCUCCUCUGUUCUACCUCUUGGACACUCGAGAGAGGCAUUCAGCCACAGUCCUUUUAAGACAACAGUCAGAAAGGGGCUGAAAUGCCAGCAUGUGCUCUGCAUUCGGCCACAACUGGUGAGACAGCAGAGGAAGAUGCCAAUCCAAACUAAUCAGCUUGCACAGGGGCAUGAGUUUCUCUGGCUGAAGUCAUUGUGGAAGGGGAACUGGUUGACAUCAGCAGUCACCUGUAUGCAACUUCAUUCCUAAAAGGUGUCUGAUGUAUGGUUUUGGCUUGGCUUGUUCCAUCUUACAGAAGCUUACCCUGCCAUACCUUUGCCAGUGGACAAGGACAGGCAGCUUUACUGACCUCAAUGAAUCUUGAGAAGACACUGCUGGUAAAUGUUUGUUGGAUUUCACAACAGAUCACUUCGUUUACACCUGAGGAAUAUGGUUGCAGAUGUUGUUAUGCUUGCUGCCUUUGCAUACGCGUGAUUGGGUAACUCUACCAGACGUGGAAUAUCUGCCUCUCUCCGUGUGGCUGGGUGAAUCCAAACCACACAAACGAACAGCAGCAAAUUCCAGACAAAAAAAGGUACCCUUGCGUUAAGGAUUAGAUCUGUCUUUGCUGAAGUCUCUUUGUGGAAUUUAAGCUCUCAUGACUGUGUGUAAAACAGCUGCUGCCCAAGGGGGUAGUUCUCCUUCCCCUUCAUCCACUUUUUCCUCUUUGUUUUGGUUUUAUUGCUCAGACAACAGAGCAGAACAUCAUACUGCUAGCAGAUUAAAUGUGUAAUCUCACUCUUCUUUGUUUAAAGUGACAACUCUAUACUUCUUACAGUAAUCUGAAGGAAGGUAAGGCUGCAGAAAGGCUCCAGGCACAUCUGCAUUUUCUCACAGUCUAAAGACUAUUCAGUCCUAUUUAUUCUUUUACAGUAGGAGAGGGAAUCCCUCUGUCAUUCAGAGCACCAGGGGCCUAUAUUCUGCCCACAGUUGAGAUGAGAAAGAUCUUCGGUCAAGAAGAGAAACUCAAGAGGAGCUUUUCAAUACCUAGAGCUGCUUUCUUUUUAUAAUUGAAUAUAAGGAAAAUGAUCAGACUUUGGGGCUAGAAAAAGGCAAGAUGAUUAGUUGAAAAGGAAAAUAGUUUUUUUUCUACUUCACUGUAUUAUGGGCAGAUGCACUGAAGUAAAUAAAGUUCAAGUGCAAAUUGCAUCAGAUAAGGAAGUAAUUCCAGUGGUGAAAGUCAUGCCUAGUAUAGUACCAGCAGCAUUUAUGAAGUGAUAACAAGGAUACAGCUGAAUCAACAAUGCUGCAUAUUUAUAUCACUGGUGCGAUAGUGUCACAUUCUGACAAAUAUCUGUAACAUAUUACUUCUACCAGCUCAACUCGGUGUUUGGUUCCAGCAGGCUAAACCCAGAACAACUGAACCAAAGCCGGUGGAGGUACUUCAGAUGUCAAUGAUUGGAACAAAGAAUGUGAAUUUGCACUUAGCAUUUAUAUAGUCCCUUUAAUCUUCAAAGAGCAUCACAAACAUUAGGUAGUUCUAAUUUUCUCACUACGACCUUGAUGCUAACCUUUUGGGAUAAAAGUGAUAUACUAGAAGAAAAAACCUGAUAAGAUGUGUAAUCAAGCAUACAGUAGGCUUCAGAUGUAUAAGCUAUCUCUGCCUUAGCCUCUCUCUCUGCGCUUCACGGUAGAUUUUAUCCCAUCCAGAAUAUAAGGCCUUUUACCAUGGCUCAGGUAUUAAUUCACCAUACAAUGUAUUUUGCUAACAUAAGAUGAUGAUAAUAAUCCUUGAAUAGCAGAUUUAUUAUUAUAGCUAUAGGAUACAGCUAUUCCUGUUUGAAGCGAUAAAGAACUCAAAACACUAUUGUAUUAAAAAACUUACUGGAAGCUGCCACAGGACAAGCCAGAGACACAUGUAGGUUAGCUGUUGGGAUUUCAUGCCUUUGAAGUCCUUCUCUUCAGUCAUUCUGGGAUUUGUUUGUUCAUUCCUUGCAAUUCAAAUUAGGAAUUUUCUAAGUCUCUUUUAGAGAGCUUUCUCAGAAGCAGCAGAAGCUUCCUUUAUGUAUCAGUUCUCUCUGCCCUCCAACUCAGAUUUGCAAUUUGGUUAUCAAUUUGGGGUGGCUCCAAGCCCUGAAUCUCGAAUGAGUUCCUCAUGUUCCAGUUGCUUGCACACUUUAUGCAGAGGAAUAGACUGAAGCAGGCAGUUCUCAUUUUCAUGGUGACCCAGAACAGCUAUUGUUACAAGAACACCUUUAAUCUCCUGUUUCUGUUUUUGAAUUGAAUUCAAGUGCAGGGAGAUGAAAGAAAGCGUCUCACAAA
This is a long non-coding RNA of Pogoniulus pusillus (Red-fronted tinkerbird), 3136 nucleotides long. RefSeq lists it as uncharacterized. The record is from RefSeq and is a predicted model, not a curated record. The transcript is spliced from 12 exons. NCBI's taxonomy places the organism in Eukaryota, Metazoa, Chordata, Aves, Piciformes, Lybiidae.